RNAcentral lists this ribosomal RNA (439 nucleotides) under uncultured bacterium. RNAcentral describes it as "partial 16S ribosomal RNA". It matches the Rfam family "Bacterial small subunit ribosomal RNA", at positions 338 to 795 of the family's 1533-position model. The record is from RNAcentral.
CCUACGGGCGGCAGCAGUGGGGAAUAUUGCACAAUGGGGGAAACCCUGAUGCAGCGACGCCGCGUGAGUGAAGAAGUAUUUCGGUACGUAAGCCCUAUCACCAGGAAAGAAAAUACGGGUCCCUGCCUAGAAAGCCCCGGCUAACUACGUGCAAGCAGCGGCGGGAAUAAGUAGGGGGAAAGCGUUAUCCGGUUUUACUGGGUGUAAAGGGGGCGUAGACGGCAGGGCAUGUCUGGAGUGAAAUCCCAUGGCUUAACCAUGGAACUGCUUUGGAAACUGUGCAGCGGGAGUGCAGGAGAGGUAAGCGGAAUUCCUAGUGUAGCGGUGAAAUGCGUAGAUAUUAGGAGGAACACCAGUGGCGAAGGCGGCUUACUGGACUGUAACUGACGUUGAGGCUCGAAAGCGUGGGGAGCAAACAGGAUUAGAUACCCCGGUAGUC